This 459-nucleotide small RNA is filed under the name Arabidopsis thaliana (thale cress). RNAcentral's name for it is "ATSL270730". The record is from RNAcentral. Lineage: Eukaryota; Viridiplantae; Streptophyta; Magnoliopsida; Brassicales; Brassicaceae.
AACCAAGAAAAAGCUUGGUUAGUGUUUUGGAGUAGAAUAUGACUUGAUGCCAUGUGUAUGAUUGAGUAUAAGAACUUAAUCCGCAACCGGAUCUUAAACGCCUAAGUAGUGUUUCCUCGUUAGAAGAUACAAAGCCAAAGACUCAUAUGGAUUUUAGCUACACCAUCAAAGCUUUGAGAAGCAAGAAGAAGCUUGGUUAGUGUUUUGGAGUCAAAUAUGACUAGAUGUCAUGUGUAUGAGUGAGUAUAACAACUAGAACCGCAACCGGAUCUUAAAAGCCUAAGUAUUGUAUCCUUGUUAGAAGAUAUAAAGACAAAUACUCAUACAGAUCUUACAAGCCUAAGUAGUGUUUCCUUGUUAGAAGAUACAAAGCCAAAGACUCAUACGGAUUUUAGCUACACCAUCAAAGCUUUGAGAAGCAAGAAGAAGCUUGGUUAGUGUUUUGGAGUCAAAUAUGAC